GUUUAUGGCUGACCAUGAAUUUGGUGAGAAAACCCUCAAAAUAUUUCUGUGAAUUCUCUUUCCUUUAUUUUUUGCAUAUCAGUCAGUUUUGUUUUCUUUUUUUUUUAACUUGACUUCCAAUUUACAGCUGCAAGAACGGGUGAGUAAAAAACCUUUUUUUCUCCUUAAAUUAAGCUGUUUUAGAUCUUAGCAACAGGGCCCCAAGGUCCUGGCUAGCAAUUGCCUAAAUUAAGACUAGAAAAACCUGGGGAAACUUCUUUGGCCUCCACGUUUUUUACUUUAGAAAUAUGGAGUAACAGACAGUUCAGAAAUUAGUUAACAACUGGAGUUUCAGUAAAUACUUUGUUCUUUUCUUAAUACAAACAUUGGUCUGCAACUUACUUAGCAACUGGCUCAGCAGCCCCAUGACCAAUCUUAUAAAUACAGAAUUCCUUGUCUGUCUGAAAGGGCUCAUCUCAUGGAACUUAUGGCAAAAACUAAUCAACAUACUACUUUCCCUUGAGUUUUUGAUUAUUGUAAUUUUAAUAUUGUAUUUCCUUAAAGAACUCAAUUCUCAGUCAAAUCAACCAAUUUCUUCCCCUGCCCCCUUGGCCUCAGAAAACCCUAAUUCUAAUCAAUCAACUCUAAAUUCAUAUCCCACCCAGGCUUCCAACACAACACAAUCAACUUUAAGUACACACCCUACCUCUGAAUUUUCUGGCACAAUGGGAUUACAACAAACCCCUCCUUUUAAUGUGCCCAACCCUUCUAUGUCUCAGACUUACCCAAUUGAAAAUGGAGCAAGAUGCUUAGAAACAGGAGUACGAAAUAAUUCAGAUAGCUUAUUUCCUUUAAGGGAAGUACCCACUUUUAAUAAAAAUGGAAACUUAAUAUCUGUAAGGCAUCAUACACCUUUUAGCCCUGAGGAUUUAAAAAAAUUGAAGGAAGAAAUGCCAUCAUUUGAGGAUGAACCAACAAUGAUUAUAAAAAAAUUAGAGAACAUAUUCAGAACUUUUGACCCCACUUGGUUGGAUGUUGAGAAUAUAUUAGAUGAAUUAUUAAUAAAGAGAGAGAAAAAUAAUAUCGUCUCUCUGGCUAAUAAAAAACAAGGUAGCAGAGGACAUUAUUGGCCAACUGAAGAUCCACAUUGGAACCCCAAUGUUGAAUUAGCUUACACAAAACUAAACCAGGCAAGAGAAGCAUUAUUGACAGCCAUGAGAGCUUGCUCUGAUAGACCUGAAAAAUGGUCAAAAUUUGAAAAAACCCAACAACAUAUUGAUGAAACACCCUCCCAGUUUAUGGACAGACUUAUUGACAUAGGGAAUAUAUAUAUGGACCUUGAUUUGUCCAGAGAAAGAGACAUUAGACAACUACGUAGACGAUUUGUUAAGAAUUGUUGUUCAGUGGUAAAGGACUACUUUAAAACUAGCUGUCCUAAUUGGGACUCUAUGGACCUCGAUGAACUAAGGAGAGUAGCAACCAAUGUUUAUGAAGGUCGUGUAAAAAGACCUGAGGAAGAUGAUACAUCAGUGGAAGAUUUAAAGAAAGAAAUUGAAAUGUUAAAGAGACAACUGAAAAAUAAGGGAGAGACUAUAGCCCCUUUGAGGGAAUUCACAAAUAAAUCAAUAACUUGCCACUUCUGUGAGAAGAAGGGCCAC
Long non-coding RNA from Monodelphis domestica (gray short-tailed opossum), 1637 nucleotides. The record is from Ensembl. Lineage: Eukaryota; Metazoa; Chordata; Mammalia; Didelphimorphia; Didelphidae.